UCCUACGGGGGGCAGCAGUAGGGAAUUUUCGUCAAUGGGCGCAAGCCUGAACGAGCAAUGCCGCGUGAACGAGGAAGGUCUUCGGAUCGUAAAGUUCUGUUGAAGGGGAAAAAGAGCAGAGAGAGGAAAUGGUCUCCGAUUGAUAUUACCCUUCGAGGAAGUCACGGCUAACUACGUGCCAGCAGCCGCGGUAAUACGUAGGUGGCGAGCGUUAUCCGGAAUGAUUGGGCGUAAAGGGUGCGUAGGCGGCCUGCUAAGUCUGGAGUGAAAGGUACCGGCUCAACCGGUACAGGCUCUGGAAACUG
Molecule: ribosomal RNA, 305 nt
Filed under: uncultured bacterium
Lineage: Bacteria
Description: bacterial SSU rRNA
Rfam family: Bacterial small subunit ribosomal RNA
Source: RNAcentral